RNAcentral lists this long non-coding RNA (1910 nucleotides) under Mytilus galloprovincialis (Mediterranean mussel). The record is from RNAcentral. Lineage: Eukaryota; Metazoa; Mollusca; Bivalvia; Mytilida; Mytilidae.
CCCCCCCGAAAAUCAAAUGGUUGCUGCCUAACAAGAAAAUUUGCAUACAAGGAUAUUUCCAUAGACCGGUCUCUAAACAAUGCAUUUGUGUAGUGUUUUUGUACUAAUGCUGACUUACCUAAACAUCAGGUAAAUUUCUUCCAAUAAAGAUUUCAUCCGAUCAUUGCUCUAUUAACCUUAAUUGUAUUUGGCAAUUUAUACUCCGUUGUAGUUUCUUUUCUUCAGUUUAUUUCUUUCAAUAUAUAUUCUAAAUUUCUGCACAUAAACGUUAAACAUGAAUUCCAAUCGAGGAAUGGACAUUUCAUUUUUAACUCCCAGCUCUCUUUAUGUUAUUGUAUUUCUCGCUACAUCGAAGACCUGUUGGUGACCUUCUGCUGUUGUUUUUUCUAUGGUCGGGUUGUUGUCUCUUUGACACAUUCCCCAUUUCCAUUCUCAAUUUUAUCUGCUUAGUUUAUUUGUUGACCAUGUUCAACAUUAUUUUAUGAUAGUUUGAAGCUUUCCCUCCACACGAAAUAUAAGCAACACUCAAAUGGCAGUAAAAUGAGCAUUUAAUCCUUGCCUUAUAAAGCUUCAAAGUCAGCUAGUAUAACAAUCUGGUACAAAAAUAAUACAAAAUACAAUUAUAAUAAAUUGUGUCCCUGUAAGAAUAAUCUGCAACUUGCACUUGUUUGAAUGUGUCAUGAUGACAUUGCUUUGCAUAAAAUUGACAACAUAUUAAAGUGUUCAAGAACUGUUGCAUCAUAAAAUGUUUUGGUUAAAUCAACAAUAUUAUUUUGUUAACGUCUAUUAACUUGUGAAACUCGGUUAAUUUUUUGUUAUUUUUUGGCUUAUACUUUAAAUACGUUUUGGAUAAACAUCACGUUUUGGAUAAACUUUUGGAUAAACUUUAAAUACGUUUUGGAUAAACAUCACGUAAAUAACAAAAAGUGUGUUGGGAAAUUUGUUUAUUUCUGUCAUUUGAUCUCUUGUGGAGAGUUGUCUUUUUGACAAUCAUACCACAUCUUCUUUUUAUAGAUAUUUAAGAGUUUGAAAAUCAAACUGAUACUGAAAGGUGUGUUAUUCAUUAUAAAUUAUAAUUGAUUGAAAAUGUUGUAAUAUAAUUUAAGGCAAGGAUAAGUUUUGUCAUUUAAUGGCACCUAUCACUACAUUCAUGUGAGAAAAGGCCCUCAUAUUGAUAUAAUUCAUUAAAACAUCACUUUUGAAAAUUUCAGUUGCAGAAAAUAACUAGAGGCUUUAGAGCCUGUGUCGCUCACCUUGGUCUAUGUGCAAAUUAAACAAAGGACACGUAUGUGUUUUUUUGACAAAAUUGUGUUUUGGUGAUGGUGAUGUGUUUGUAGAUCUUACUUAACUGAACAUUCUUGCUGCUUACAAUUAUCUCUAUCUAUAAUGAACUUGGCCCAGUUGUUAGUGGAAAGUAUUUUGUAAAAAUUUACAGAAUUUAUGAAAAUUGUAAUAAAUUGACUAUAAAGGGCAAUAACUCCUUAAGGGGCAGCAACCCAACAACGGGUUGCCUGAAUGGUCUGAAAAUUUCAGGGCAGAUAAAUAUUCACCUAAUGAACAAUUCUAUCUAGAUUUGCUCUAAAUGCUUCAGUUUCAAAGAUAUGAGCCAAAAGCUGCAUUUUACCCCAUGUACUCUUUUUAGCCAUGGCAGCCAUCUUGGUUCGCGGGCGGGGGUGAUCGGACACAUUUUUAAAACUAAAUACCCUAAUGAUGAUUGUGGACAGUUUGGUUGACUUUGUCUCCGUAGUUUCAGAGGUGAGGAUUUUUGUAAAAGAUUUCCUUAAAAUUGUUAAAAAUUGACUAUAAAGGACAAUAACUCCUUAAGGGGUGAACUGACCAUUUUGGUCAUGUUGACUUAUUUGUAGAUCUUACUUUGCUGAACAUUGUUGAUGUUUACAGUUUAUCUCUUU